AAAACUAUACUUUCAGGGGUCGUUUCUAUAGUUUCUGACUUGAGAAAUGUGUUUCUAAAGUGUUUGGUCUCGCUAACCACGAUGAUGAGUCGUGAUAUUUCCUUCUGAGCGUGAAACUAACAGAGAAUAAUGAUUCAGUUCAUAUGUUCUCUGUCAUUGAUGACUGUUCAUUGUUUUCUAGAGGAGCAUUGAGGAAGGGAAUAUGAUCAGAGUGGUA
Molecule: small nucleolar RNA, 217 nt
Organism: Dicentrarchus labrax (European seabass)
Lineage: Eukaryota; Metazoa; Chordata; Actinopteri; Moronidae
Source: Ensembl